UAAUUUAUUGCCGUAGGAUGGGACUGCGGCCUAUCAGUUUGUUGGUGAGGUAAUGGCCCACCAAGACUAUUACAGGCACGGGCUCUGAGAGGAGUAGCCCGGAGAUGGGUACUGAGACACGGACCCAGGCCCUAUGGGGCGCAGCAGGCGAGAAAACUUUGCAAUGUGCGAAAGCACGACAAGGUUAAUCCGAGUGGUUUCUGCUAAAGGUACCUUUUGUCAGUCCUAGAAACACUGAUGAAUAAGGGGUGGGCAAGUUCUGGUGUCAGCCGCCGCGGUAAAACCAGCACCUCAAGUGGUCAGGAUGAUUAUUGGGCCUAAAGCAUCCGUAGCCUGCUUUGUAAGUUUUCGGUUAAAUCCAUACGCUCAACGUAUGGGCUGCCGGGAAUACUGCAAAGCUAGGGAGUGGGAGAGGUAGACGGUACUCGGUAGGAAGGGGUAAAAUCCUUUGAUCUAUUGAUGACCACCUGUGGCGAAGGCGGUCUACCAGAACACGUCCGACGGUGAGGGAUGAAAGCUGGGGGAGCAAACCGGAUUAGAUACCCGGGUAGUCCCAGCUGUAAACUAUGCAAACUCAGUGAUGCAUUGGCUUGAUGCCAAUGCAGUGCUGCAGGGAAGCCGUUAAGUUUGCCGCCU
Molecule: ribosomal RNA, 636 nt
Filed under: uncultured archaeon
Lineage: Archaea
Description: bacterial SSU rRNA
Rfam family: Archaeal small subunit ribosomal RNA
Source: RNAcentral